CUAUUUUUUUUACUUAAUUAGCUUAAUUUUUUAGCUCUUUGUUCUUAUAUUUAUAAGAAAUAUAAGUAUUUAUGCUAAUAACAUAAAUCUUGAGAGAAAAAAAAAAACUUAAUUUAAUAGCCGAAUUUUUUAUCCCGAAUUUUUAAUUGAUGAACGUAUAAUAUCCGUAUAAAUCACGUAUCCGAAUAAUUGACGAAUCUAUUUUUUAGCCGUAUUUUUCAACAAAUUUAAAAAUUAGAAAACGAAUUUCAUCCGAAUUAUGCCCGUACUGAAUUUUUGUCGAAUCCGAAUUAACUAACUAUGGUUACACUACGCAUACUAACAUGCAAUGCCCAACAUAUAUAACUUAUC
Molecule: long non-coding RNA, 351 nt
Filed under: Ananas comosus (pineapple)
Lineage: Eukaryota; Viridiplantae; Streptophyta; Magnoliopsida; Poales; Bromeliaceae
Description: long non-coding RNA (ACOM_LNC025981)
Source: RNAcentral